Molecule: ribosomal RNA, 368 nt
Filed under: Herbinix luporum
Lineage: Bacteria; Bacillati; Bacillota; Clostridia; Lachnospirales; Lachnospiraceae
Description: bacterial SSU rRNA
Rfam family: Bacterial small subunit ribosomal RNA
Source: RNAcentral
UUAAACAUGAGAGUUUGAUCCUGGCUCAGGAUGAACGCUGGCGGCGUGCCUAACACAUGCAAGUCGAACGGAGUUUAUAUUAUGAAGUCUUCGGAUGAAUUGAUAUAAACUUAGUGGCGGACGGGUGAGUAACGCGUGGGUAACCUGCCUCAUACAGGGGGAUAACAGCCGGAAACGGUUGCUAAAACCGCAUAAGCGCACAGCAGCGCAUGCUGCAGUGUGAAAAUAUUUUAUAGGUAUGAGAUGGGCCCGCGUCUGAUUAGCUAGUUGGUGAGGUAACUGCUCACCAAGGCGACGAUCAGUAGCCGGCUUGAGAGAGUGACCGGCCACAUUGGGACUGAGACACGGCCCAAACUCCUACGGGAGGC